RNAcentral lists this ribosomal RNA (570 nucleotides) under Clinoconidium sawadae. RNAcentral describes it as "eukaryotic LSU rRNA". Lineage: Eukaryota; Fungi; Basidiomycota; Exobasidiomycetes; Exobasidiales; Cryptobasidiaceae. The record is from RNAcentral.
AGAGGAAGUAAAAGUCAUAACAAGGUUUCUGUAGGUGAACCUGCAGAAGGAUCAUUAGGGAAUUUUCAAAAAGAAAAAAAUCGGCAGAGACCCCUUUCGAGGGUGUCUAUGUCGUAUUCUUCUCUCCACAACACCGUGAACCCUCGAAAGAGGCGUAAUCUUUUUUACAUAAACUCAUUCAGUUCAUGAAAGUAUAUACAAAAAAACAAAAUAAAACUUUUGACAACGGAUCUCUUGGUUCUCCCAUCGAUGAAGAACGCAGCGAAACGCGAUAGGUAUUGUGAAUUGCAGAAUCAGGGAAUCAUCGAAUUUUUGAACGCACCUUGCGCUCCUUGGUAUUCCUCGGAGCAUGCCUGUUUGAGUGUUGAUAGCCUCUCCAAACUUUUAUUUUUUGAAUAAAAGCUUUGGGUCCUUGGGCUUGUAGCGGGUCUCCUCGUUACUUGCCUUAAAUAUAUUCAGAAGAUCUGAAUUUGGAUGUUAAGCAUGAUAUCCUCAUUUGAACUUYGAACUUCAACCUAUUCAUACAACCUCAAAUCAGGUAGGACUACCCGCUGAACUUAAGCAUAUCAA